Molecule: non-coding RNA, 24 nt
Filed under: Cricetulus griseus (Chinese hamster)
Lineage: Eukaryota; Metazoa; Chordata; Mammalia; Rodentia; Cricetidae
Source: RNAcentral
GAACUUUAAGCACGUUGGGAGUGA